GAUGAACGCUGGCGGCGUGCUUAACACAUGCAAGUCGAACGGUUAAACCGCCCUCGGGCGGACAUACAGUGGCGAACGGGUGAGUAACACGUGACCAACCUGCCCCAGACUCCGGGACAACCGCUGGAAACGGCGGCUAAUACCGGAUACUCCGGGGAGGCCCCAUGGCCUCCCCGGGAAAGCCUUGACGGUCUGGGAUGGGGUCGCGGCCCAUUAGGUAGACGGCGGGGUAACGGCCCACCGUGCCCGCGAUGGGUAGCCGGACUGAGAGGUCGACCGGCCACAUUGGGACUGAGAUACGGCCCAGACUCCUACGGGAGGCAGCAGUGGGGAAUUUUGCGCAAUGGGGGAAACCCUGACGCAGCAACGCCGCGUGCGGGACGAAGGCCCUCGGGUCGUAAACCGCUUUCAGCAGGGAAGACUCAAGACGGUACCUGCAGAAGAAGCUCCGGCUAACUACGUGC
RNAcentral lists this ribosomal RNA (464 nucleotides) under uncultured bacterium. Its description in RNAcentral is "bacterial SSU rRNA". It matches the Rfam family "Bacterial small subunit ribosomal RNA", at positions 28 to 508 of the family's 1533-position model. The record is from RNAcentral.